Rhipicephalus sanguineus (brown dog tick) is the source of this 220-nucleotide long non-coding RNA. RefSeq lists it as uncharacterized. Lineage: Eukaryota; Metazoa; Arthropoda; Arachnida; Ixodida; Ixodidae. The transcript has 3 exons. The record is from RefSeq and is a predicted model, not a curated record.
AUCAACAUGUACAACUAUCCCGUGGUUCAAGGUCAAGCGAUAGGCACGCCAGCGUACGGACAGGAGAAUGUCAACAGUAUGACGCCGUCAUCAAACUACCCGUCCAGUUUCUCUUCAGCAGAGGCGGCCUCAGGUACGCAGCCGUAUUGAUUGGUGUAAUCAUCGUCCUCGGAGUCAUCGUCGCGGCUGUGACAGUGAUCGCGCUCGCAAACGGUAAGAA